This 367-nucleotide ribosomal RNA is filed under the name uncultured organism. RNAcentral's name for it is "bacterial LSU rRNA". It matches the Rfam family "Bacterial large subunit ribosomal RNA", at positions 2099 to 2465 of the family's 2925-position model. The record is from RNAcentral.
CUUUACUGUAGCCUGUUAUUGGCUUCGGGCUUUGACUGCGCAGGAUAGGUGGGAGACUAUGAAGCUGCCCUUGUGGGGGCAGUGGAGUCAUCAGUGAGAUACCACUCUGUCAAGGCUAGAAUUCUAACCGUCUGCCGUUAUCCGGCGACGGAACAGUAUCAGGUGGGCAGUUUGACUGGGGCGGUCGCCUCCUAAAUGGUAACGGAGGCGCGCAAAGGUUCCCUCAGGCUGGUUGGAAAUCAGCCGAAGAGUGUAAAGGCAGAAGGGAGCUUGACUGCAAGAGCAACAACUCAAGCAGGGACGAAAGUCGGCCUUAGUGAUCCGACGGCGCUGAGUGGAAGGGCCGUCGCUCAACGGAUAAAAGUUA